RNAcentral lists this ribosomal RNA (253 nucleotides) under uncultured bacterium. Its description in RNAcentral is "partial 16S ribosomal RNA". It matches the Rfam family "Bacterial small subunit ribosomal RNA", at positions 524 to 776 of the family's 1533-position model. The record is from RNAcentral.
UACGUAGGGGGCAAGCGUUAUCCGGAUUUACUGGGUGUAAAGGGAGCGUAGACGGCAAUGCAAGUCUGGAGUGAAAGGCGGGGGCCCAACCCCCGGACUGCUCUGGAAACUGUAUAGCUGGAGUGCAGGAGAGGUAAGUGGAAUUCCUAGUGUAGCGGUGAAAUGCGUAGAUAUCAGGAGGAACACCAGUGGCGAAGGCGGCUUACUGGACUGUAACUGACGUUGAGGCUCGAAAGCGUGGGGAGCAAACAGG